Molecule: long non-coding RNA, 298 nt
Filed under: Coturnix japonica (Japanese quail)
Lineage: Eukaryota; Metazoa; Chordata; Aves; Galliformes; Phasianidae
Description: lncRNA (ENSCJPG00005017652.1)
Source: RNAcentral
CAAGAGGAGAAGGAUGCUCAAGACAUUGGAAGCUGCUACUCAUACCAAAAUACAACAGAGGAGUCUUAAGCUUCAUUACACAGGUCUCCUAAGGGCAUGUUACUGGAGCCCUACCCUGGAACUCAUGGUUAAGGAAAUGCAUCUUUCUGCCUGUGAUGAGUUUGCAGCUGUUCCUGCAAAGGACUCCAAGAGCUGGGGAGCUGAACUGAGGACUGGAUGGGAGCUUGGAGGUGAAAUGACCUGCCAGGGAAAAAAAAGGAACUGUGAAGGAAAACAGCACCCAUGGCCAAGUGCAUAA